RNAcentral lists this long non-coding RNA (1635 nucleotides) under Homo sapiens (human). RNAcentral describes it as "HSALNT0126121". The record is from RNAcentral. Lineage: Eukaryota; Metazoa; Chordata; Mammalia; Primates; Hominidae.
GGGAACAGCAUGUGCAAAGGCACCGGGAUAGGAGGACAUGGCAUAUGAACCAGGGAUGGAGACGUGUCCAUUGCAGGAGAUGCAGGGGCCGGAUGGCAGGGGUGGGGAGGGGGGCUGCAGGAAGGAAGCCUCAGGGCAGGCACAUCUGGAUCACAGAAGAUGGGGCCACCAGGCUGAGGCACCUGCCCUUCAUCUUGGAGCCUCCUGAGGAGUAAAUCGCCCUCCCCAGACUCGGCAGAUGUUUGGUCAGGAGGCCAAUGCUCAGCUAUUUCAUCAUGAAAAUCCCGACCCAAGGCACAAUGCCCAGCCCAAAGCUGUAUCCAGUCAGUGUGGGCACCUGGCCCUGCUCGAGGGGAGCCACGGCAGAUCAGCCCUUAUGCUCACAGGAGCCUUUCUGGUGGGUCUGCCCUGGGAGACAAGUUCAGCUGUGGGGAGGAGACUGGCGCCUCAUGCCAGAGAGUUGAGGGUUGGCACCAACACAAGGACCCUGCCAAGCCACUCUAUCAUUGGGGGAUGGAGGCUUUGCUGACACCCAGUGGGGGUCUUUCCCCCACCUCCCUCACCCAUGGCUUUGCCUCAGUUCUUGUGUAGGUUCCCAGAAUAAAACCAUAAGCACAGAAAGACUGUGGUUAUUGGGGGAAAAAAGUAGGUAGGAAGAUAGUUAGCUGUUUCCUGUCUUCUCAAGAUAGGUAGAUAGGUACCUGCUUAUCUAAGUAGGUAAGUGGGUAGGUAGGUAGACAGGCAGGAAGGUAGGUGGGUAGACAGGUAGGUAGGUAGGUUCACAGGCGGGUAGGUAGAUAGGUAGGCAGGCAAGUAGAUAGGUGCACAAGUAGGUAGGUAGGGAGACGGGCAGGUAGGUAGACAGGUAGGUAUGUAGAUAAGUAGGUAGGCAGGUAGGUAGAUAGGUAGUUAGGUAGGCAGGUAGAUAGGUAAGUAGGUAGGUAGGUAGGUAGACAGGCAAGUAGGUAAGUAGGUAGGCAGGUAAAUAGGUAGCUAGAUAGGCAGGUAGAUAGGUAGGUAGGCAGGUACAUAGGUAGUUAGGCAGGUACAUAGAUAGGUAGGUAGAUAGGUAGGCAGGCAGAUAGGUAGGUAGGCAGGUAGGUAGGUAAGUAGAUAGGUAGGCAGGUAGGUAGGUAAGUAGAUAGGUAGGCAGGUAGAUAGGUAGUUAGAUAGGUAAGCAGGCAGGUAGAUAGGCAGGUAGGUAGGUAGGCAGGUAGAUAUGUAAGUAGGUAGGCAGGUAGAUAGGCAGGUAGGUAGGUAGGCAGGUAGGUAGGUAUGUAGGUAGGCAGGUAGGCAGGUAGAUAUGUAAGUAGGUAGGCAAGUAGAUAAGCAGGUAGGUAGGUAGACAGGUAGGCAGGUAGGUAGGUAUGUAGGUAGGCAGGUAGGUAUGUAGGUAGGCAGGCAGGCAGGUAGAUAGGUAGGUAGAUAGAUAGGCAGGUAGGUAGGUAGGUUGACAGGUAGGUAGGUAGCAUGACUACAGGGAGAUGAAGCCUGCUUUCAACAGCGCCGCUGCAGAACACAUCAGAUAGAAAAAGAAAACAACCUCGCUUCACAUUAAUGGAUGAGGCGCAGUCACGGUGGGUCUGCGCACCUCACUGGGAAGUGACCGUUUUCUACCCCACCAUUGUUUCCUAU